AGGAUGAACGCUGGCGGCGUGCCUAAUACAUGCAAGUCGAACGAGUUCUGAUUAUUGAAAGGUGCUUGCAUCUUGAUUUAAUUUUGAACGAGUGGCGGACGGGUGAGUAACACGUGGGUAACCUGCCCUUAAGUGGGGGAUAACAUUUGGAAACAGAUGCUAAUACCGCAUAAAUCCAAGAACCGCAUGGUUCUUGGCUGAAAGAUGGCGUAAGCUAUCGCUUUUGGAUGGACCCGCGGCGUAUUAGCUAGUUGGUGAGGUAACGGCUCACCAAGGCAAUGAUACGUAGCCGAACUGAGAGGUUGAUCGGCCACAUUGGGACUGAGACACGGCCCAAACUCCUACGGGAGGCAGCAGUAGGGAAUCUUCCACAAUGGACGCAAGUCUGAUGGAGCAACGCCGCGUGAGUGAAGAAGGCUUUCGGGUCGUAAAACUCUGUUGUUGGAGAAGAAUGGUCGGCAGAGUAACUGUUGUCGGCGUGACGGUAUCCAACCAGAAAGCCACGGCUAACUACGUGCCAGCAGCCGGGGUAAUACGUAGGUGGCAAGCGUUAUCCGGAUUUAUUGGGCGUAAAGGGAGCGCAGGCGUUUUUUAAGUCUGAUGUGAAAGCCCUUGGCUUAACCGAGGAAGUGCAUCGGAAACUGGGAAACUUGAGUGCAGAAGAGGACAGUGGAACUCCAUGUGUAGCGGUGAAAAUGCGUAGAUAUAUGGAAGAACACCAGUGGCGAAGGCGGCUGUCUGGUCUGUAACUGACGCUGAGGCUCGAAAGCAUGGGUAGCGAACAGGAUUAGAUACCCUGGUAGUCCAUGCCGUAAACGAUGAAUGCUAGGUGUUGGAGGGUUUCCGCCCUUCAGUGCCGCAGCUAACGCAUUAAGCAUUCCGCCUGGGGAGUACGACCGCAAGGUUGAAACUCAAAGGAAUUGACGGGGGCCCGCACAAGCGGUGGAGCAUGUGGUUUAAUUCGAAGCAACGCGAAGAACCUUACCAGGUCUUGACAUCUUUUGAUUACCUGAGAGAUCAGGUUUCCCCUUCGGGGGCAAAAUGACAGGUGGUGCAUGGUUGUCGUCAGCUCGUGUCGUGAGAUGUUGGGUUAAGUCCCGCAACGAGCGCAACCCUUAUGACUAGUUGCCAGCAUUUAGUUGGGCACUCUAGUAAGACUGCCGGUGACAAACCGGAGGAAGGUGGGGAUGACGUCAAAUCAUCAUGCCCCUUAUGACCUGGGCUACACACGUGCUACAAUGGAUGGUACAACGAGUUGCGAGACCGCGAGGUCAAGCUAAUCUCUUAAAGCCAUUCUCAGUUCGGACUGUAGGCUGCAACUCGCCUACACGAAGUCGGAAUCGCUAGUAAUCGCGGAUCAGCACGCCGCGGUGAAUACGUUCCCGGGCCUUGUACACACCGCCCGUCACACCAUGAGAGUUUGUAACACCCGAAGCCGGUGGCGUAACCCUUUUAGGGAGCGAGCCGUCUAAGGUGG
RNAcentral lists this ribosomal RNA (1477 nucleotides) under uncultured organism. RNAcentral describes it as "16S ribosomal RNA". It matches the Rfam family "Bacterial small subunit ribosomal RNA". The record is from RNAcentral.